CAAUAGCGUAUAUUAAAGUUGUUGCAGUUAAAAAGCUCGUAGUUGAACUUGUGCGUGCCCCUGAUGUCCUUUUUGGUACGUUUGGGGGCGUGCAUCCUUGGGUGGAACCUGUGUGGCAUUAGGUUGUCGUGCAGGGGAUGCUCAUCGUUUACUGUGAAAAAAUUAGAGUGUUCAAAGCAGGCUUAUGCCGUUGAAUAUAUUAGCAUGGAAUAAUAAGAUAGGACCUUGGUACUAUUUUGUUGGUUUGCGCACCGAGGUAAUGAUUAACAGGGACAGUUGGGGGUAUUCGUAUUCCAUUGUCAGAGGUGAAAUUCUUGGAUUUCUGGAAGACGAACUACUGCGAAAGCAUUUACCAAGGAUGUUUNCAUUA
Molecule: ribosomal RNA, 370 nt
Filed under: uncultured eukaryote
Lineage: Eukaryota
Description: partial 18S ribosomal RNA
Rfam family: Eukaryotic small subunit ribosomal RNA
Source: RNAcentral